AAUUCACAAAUUGUAUGUAAUGAGAAAAAAAGACCUAAUUAUGCUCUUUAUCUUUCACAAAACUUACCCAAAAACAAAAACUGAGAUAGUAUACAAGAGAAAAUUGUGAACCUCUUGUAGUAAUAUACACACUUUCUGAGGGCGAUACCAUCAACUACCGGGGAUCUAUCAUGGUAACUGUAACUUGAUUGACAGUGCAAGUUUCUUCAUAAUUAGUCGAAUAUGAAUCAGAAUCAACGGGUCUUCUUCCAAGGCAAAAUCCUGGGUUUUUAGGCUGAGGAAGUGAUGCACUUUCGCUACCUAGCAUCAAAACCACAGUGGCCAUGUUUGGUCGGUCUUCUGCUUGUUCCUGGACACACAACAGUCCAACCUGUAUGCAUCUCAUUACUUCAGAUGGAGAAAAAGAUUCUCCAAAAGAUGGAUCUAGUAGCUCUGAGCCGCUCCCUUCUUUCCAGAGUCUCCACGCAUGUCCAAGAAGGUUGAGUUGGUUAUUUUGAUAAUAGAAUCCCCUGUUCUUCUUUCCGGUUACUAUUUCUAACACCAAAACCCCAAAGCUGAAAACAUCGGACUUAACAGAGAAGAGGCCAUCCAUUGCAUAUUCCGG
RNAcentral lists this unclassified non-coding RNA (604 nucleotides) under Hevea brasiliensis (rubber tree). The record is from RNAcentral. Lineage: Eukaryota; Viridiplantae; Streptophyta; Magnoliopsida; Malpighiales; Euphorbiaceae.